Molecule: ribosomal RNA, 497 nt
Filed under: uncultured bacterium
Lineage: Bacteria
Description: partial 16S ribosomal RNA
Rfam family: Bacterial small subunit ribosomal RNA
Source: RNAcentral
GAUGAACGCUGGCGGCGUGCCUAAUACAUGCAAGUCGAGCGAACGGACGAGAAGCUUGCUCCUCUGAUGUUAGCGGCGGACGGGUGAGUAACACGUGGAUAACCUACCUAUAAGACUGGGAUAACUUCGGGAAACCGUAGCUAAUACCGGAUAAUAUUUUGAACCGCAUGGUUCAAAAGUGAAAGACGGUCUUGCUGUCACUUAUAGAUGGAUCCGCGCUGCAUUAGCUAGUUGGUAAGGUAACGGCUUACCAAGGCAACGAUGCAUAGCCGACCUGAGAGGGUGAUCGGCCACACUGGAACUGAGACACGGUCCAGACUCCUACGGGAGGCAGCAGUAGGGAAUCUUCCGCAAUGGGCGAAAGCCUGACGGAGCAACGCCGCGUGAGUGAUGAAGGUCUUCGGAUCGUAAAACUCUGUUAUUAGGGAAGAACAUAUGUGUAAGUAACUGUGCACAUCUUGACGGUACCUAAUCAGAAAGCCACGGCUAACUACGUG